UUGUCGACGGGAAAUCCAAUCAAGAAAACCCUGUCCCUCAAGCAGCUACUGUAUUUGACCAGCUCACACCAGCUAGGCCUCCUCCAAAACUCAGAUAAAUAUUUGAGCCACCAAAAAACGAGAACAGAUCGGUCUGAAUCGUUAAGAACUGAAGCUAACAUCAUAGAGGUACAUCCUUCCAAGAAUCCAUCAAAACAACAUGCUGAACAACUUCAAGAACUCUCUUCAAAAGACCAUACUUUCCUGAAAUAAAUAAAUUUAAAAAGAUGCCAAUAUUAAAAUAAAUCAGUUACAUGUAUUGCUAAAUAUUUUAAUACUAGCUGUAAAUGCUACUGCCUUUGAUGUUUGCUUUCUACAUGUAUAUCAUAAUGAAAUAUUGACAAGAUAAUAGCUAAUGUUU
Molecule: long non-coding RNA, 400 nt
Organism: Mya arenaria
Lineage: Eukaryota; Metazoa; Mollusca; Bivalvia; Myida; Myidae
Exons: 2
Source: RefSeq, a predicted model, not a curated record